This 468-nucleotide ribosomal RNA is filed under the name uncultured bacterium. RNAcentral describes it as "partial 16S ribosomal RNA". It matches the Rfam family "Bacterial small subunit ribosomal RNA", at positions 28 to 507 of the family's 1533-position model. The record is from RNAcentral.
GACGAACGCUGGCGGCGUGCUUAACACAUGCAAGUCGAACGGACAGGCCCUGCUUUUGUGGGGUGCUCGAGUGGCGAACGGGUGAGUAACACGUGUGUAAACUGCCCUUGACUUUGGGAUAACUUUAGGAAACUGGGGAUAUUACCGGAUAGGAGAUCCUGCUGCGUGGUGGGGGAUGGAAAGUUUCGGCGGUGGGGGCUGGACUCGCGGCUUAUCCGCUUGUUGGUGGGGUAGUGGCUUACCAAGGCUUUGACGGGUAGCCGGCCUUGGAGGGUGACCGGCCACCUGGGGACUGAGAUACGGCCCAGACUCCUACGUGAGGCAGCAGUGGGGAGUAUGACACAGUGGGCGGAAGCCUGAUGCAGCAACGCCGCGUUCGGGAUGACGUCCUUCGGGUUGUAAACCGCUUUCUCCUUAGACGAAGCGUGAGUGACGGUAAUGGGUAAAGAAGCACCGGCUAACUACGUG